AGAGUUUGAUCAUGGCUCAGGAUGAAUGCUGGCUGUAUGGAUAAGGCAUGCAAGUCGAACGGACCGCAAGGUCAGUGGCAGACGAGGUAGUAACACGUACGAACGUACUCCCAAGUCGGGCAUAGCCAACCGAAAGGUUGGGUAAUUCCCGAUAGUCCCUACGGGGUAAAGAUUUAUCGCUUGGGAAGCGGCGUGCGUAAUAUCAGCUUGUUGGUGAGGUAAUGGCUCACCAAGGCUACGACGUUUAGGGGAGCUGAGAGGCUGACCCCCACCGAUGGGACUGAGACACGGCCCAUACUCCUACGGGAGGCCGCAGUCGAGAAUCUUCCGCAAUGGACGAAAGUCUGACGGAGCGAUACAGCGUGGUGGAUGAAGUGCUUCGGUACGUAAACACCUUUUAUGUGGGACGAAAUUAUUGACGGUACCACAUGAAUAAGGGGCUCCUAACUCUGUGCCAGCAGGAGCGGUAAUACAGAGGCCCCAAGCAUUAUCCGGAAUCACUGGGCGUAAAGGGUGUCAAGGCGGUCAUGUUAGUCGUUCGUAAAAUCCGUGGGCUCAACCUACGGCUCGCGAGCGAAACGGCAUGACUUGAGGUUGGAAGAGGUGCGUGGAACUCACGGUGUAGGGGUGAAAUCCGUUGAUAUCGUGGGGAACACCAAAGGCGAAGGCAGCGCACUGGUCCAAAUCUGACGCUCACACACGAAAGCCAGGGUAGCGAACGGGAUUAGAUACCCCCGUAGUCC
This 743-nucleotide ribosomal RNA is filed under the name uncultured soil bacterium. RNAcentral's name for it is "bacterial SSU rRNA". It matches the Rfam family "Bacterial small subunit ribosomal RNA", at positions 8 to 796 of the family's 1533-position model. The record is from RNAcentral.